This is a long non-coding RNA of Vollenhovia emeryi, 432 nucleotides long. RefSeq lists it as uncharacterized. Lineage: Eukaryota; Metazoa; Arthropoda; Insecta; Hymenoptera; Formicidae. The transcript is spliced from 3 exons. The record is from RefSeq and is a predicted model, not a curated record.
AGAUGUUAGCUUCAAAAUGUGUUACGUGUCUGUCAGAACAAUCACAUGUGGUCAACUGUGAGUAUAUACGCAUGCGUAUAGUAACAGUAGGAGGCAUGCAUGGAUCGGAGAAUCCCAGUUUGGAAUCAUUUGGGAUUUGGAGUCUCUAAUCUCAGCAUGUGGAAAUUGCAAAGUAAACUUGUAUUUAUAUAAACGUCUUGUAUUAAGUGUGUAUACAUGAUACAUGAAUACUUUAGUGAAACAAAAAUUGCAGGCAUUACUGGCAACAAUAGCGAUUUUUAGCUAGAAGAUUGGAAGGCAAUUUUAAAAAGAAGAUUAUUAUGUAAUUGCUGAAAAUAUUGUAAAAAGCAAUACAAACGAAAAAAGGCCUUCCAUGCAGAACAGAAGUGCAGCAUCAUUCAAUACGACAUAUGAAAUAAAAGAGAGUACAGA